RNAcentral lists this ribosomal RNA (1364 nucleotides) under Staphylococcus aureus. RNAcentral describes it as "bacterial SSU rRNA". It matches the Rfam family "Bacterial small subunit ribosomal RNA", at positions 184 to 1533 of the family's 1533-position model. The record is from RNAcentral. Lineage: Bacteria; Bacillati; Bacillota; Bacilli; Caryophanales; Staphylococcaceae.
AACCGCAUGGUUCAAAAGUGAAAGACGGUCUUGCUGUCACUUAUAGAUGGAUCCGCGCUGCAUUAGCUAGUUGGUAAGGUAACGGCUUACCAAGGCAACGAUGCAUAGCCGACCUGAGAGGGUGAUCGGCCACACUGGAACUGAGACACGGUCCAGACUCCUACGGGAGGCAGCAGUAGGGAAUCUUCCGCAAUGGGCGAAAGCCUGACGGAGCAACGCCGCGUGAGUGAUGAAGGUCUUCGGAUCGUAAAACUCUGUUAUUAGGGAAGAACAUAUGUGUAAGUAACUGUGCACAUCUUGACGGUACCUAAUCAGAAAGCCACGGCUAACUACGUGCCAGCAGCCGCGGUAAUACGUAGGUGGCAAGCGUUAUCCGGAAUUAUUGGGCGUAAAGCGCGCGUAGGCGGUUUUUUAAGUCUGAUGUGAAAGCCCACGGCUCAACCGUGGAGGGUCAUUGGAAACUGGAAAACUUGAGUGCAGAAGAGGAAAGUGGAAUUCCAUGUGUAGCGGUGAAAUGCGCAGAGAUAUGGAGGAACACCAGUGGCGAAGGCGACUUUCUGGUCUGUAACUGACGCUGAUGUGCGAAAGCGUGGGGAUCAAACAGGAUUAGAUACCCUGGUAGUCCACGCCGUAAACGAUGAGUGCUAAGUGUUAGGGGGUUUCCGCCCCUUAGUGCUGCAGCUAACGCAUUAAGCACUCCGCCUGGGGAGUACGACCGCAAGGUUGAAACUCAAAGGAAUUGACGGGGACCCGCACAAGCGGUGGAGCAUGUGGUUUAAUUCGAAGCAACGCGAAGAACCUUACCAAAUCUUGACAUCCUUUGACAACUCUAGAGAUAGAGCCUUCCCCUUCGGGGGACAAAGUGACAGGUGGUGCAUGGUUGUCGUCAGCUCGUGUCGUGAGAUGUUGGGUUAAGUCCCGCAACGAGCGCAACCCUUAAGCUUAGUUGCCAUCAUUAAGUUGGGCACUCUAAGUUGACUGCCGGUGACAAACCGGAGGAAGGUGGGGAUGACGUCAAAUCAUCAUGCCCCUUAUGAUUUGGGCUACACACGUGCUACAAUGGACAAUACAAAGGGCAGCGAAACCGCGAGGUCAAGCAAAUCCCAUAAAGUUGUUCUCAGUUCGGAUUGUAGUCUGCAACUCGACUACAUGAAGCUGGAAUCGCUAGUAAUCGUAGAUCAGCAUGCUACGGUGAAUACGUUCCCGGGUCUUGUACACACCGCCCGUCACACCACGAGAGUUUGUAACACCCGAAGCCGGUGGAGUAACCUUUUAGGAGCUAGCCGUCGAAGGUGGGACAAAUGAUUGGGGUGAAGUCGUAACAAGGUAGCCGUAUCGGAAGGUGCGGCUGGAUCACCUCCUUU